UUAUGGCUCAGAAUGAACGCUAGCGACAGGCCUAACACAUGCAAGUCGAGGGGUAGAAAGAGCUUGCUUUUUUGAGACCGGCGCACGGGUGAGUAACGCGUAUGCAACCUACCUUAUACUGGGGGAUAGCCCAAAGAAAUUUGGAUUAAUACCGCAUAAUAUAUUUGAAUCGCAUGGUUUGAAUAUUAAAACUCCGGUGGUAUAAGAUGGGCAUGCGUAGCAUUAGUUUGUUGGUGAGGUAACGGCUCACCAAGACUAUGAUGCUUAGGGGGUCUGAGAGGAUAGUCCCCCACACUGGUACUGAGACACGGACCAGACUCCUACGGGAGGCAGCAGUGAGGAAUAUUGGUCAAUGGACGCAAGUCUGAACCAGCCAUGUCGCGUGCAGGAUGACGGCCCUAUGGGUUGUAAACUGCUUUUUUACAGGAAUAAUUGCAGGUACGUGUACCUGUUUGAAUGUACUGUAUGAAUAAGGAUCGGCUAACUCCGUGCCAGCAGCCGCGGUAAUACGGAGGAUUCGAGCGUUAUCCGGAUUUAUUGGGUUUAAAGGGUCCGUAGGCGGCUUUUUAAGUCAGUGGUGAAAUCCCAGAGCUCAACUCUGGAACUGCCAUUGAAACUGAAGAGCUUGAAUAUGGUUGAGGUAGGCGGAAUACGUUAUGUAGCGGUGAAAUGCAUAGAUAUAACGUAGAACACCAAUUGCGAAGGCAGCUUACUAAACCAUUAUUGACGCUGAUGGACGAAAGCGUGGGGAGCGAACAGGAUUAGAUAC
This 769-nucleotide ribosomal RNA is filed under the name uncultured Bacteroidota bacterium. RNAcentral's name for it is "bacterial SSU rRNA". It matches the Rfam family "Bacterial small subunit ribosomal RNA", at positions 17 to 785 of the family's 1533-position model. Lineage: Bacteria; Pseudomonadati; Bacteroidota. The record is from RNAcentral.